RNAcentral lists this ribosomal RNA (194 nucleotides) under uncultured bacterium. Its description in RNAcentral is "partial 16S ribosomal RNA". It matches the Rfam family "Bacterial small subunit ribosomal RNA", at positions 577 to 770 of the family's 1533-position model. The record is from RNAcentral.
GGUUUGAAUAGGCUGAUGUGAAAGCCCACGGCUUAACCGGAGUAGUGCAUUGGAAACUGGGAGACUUGAGUGCAGAAGAGGAGAGUGGAACUCCAUGUGUAGCGGUGAAAUGCGUAGAUAUAUGGAAGAACACCAGUGGCGAAAGCGGCUCUCUGGUCUGUAACUGACGCUGAGGUUCGAAAGCGUGGGUAGCA